CACGGGGGGAGCAAGCGUUGUUCGGAAUCACUGGGCGUAAAGCGUGCGCAGGCGGUUUUGUAAGCCAGAUGUGAAAUCCCCGGGCUUAACCUGGGAAUGGCAUUUGGGACUGCAAGGCUCGAGUGCGGCAGAGGAGACUGGAAUUCCUGGUGUAGCAGUGAAAUGCGUAGAUAUCAGGAGGAACACCGAUGGCGAAGGCAGGUCUCUGGGCUGACACUGACGCUCAUGCACGAAAGCGUGGGGAGCAAACAGG
RNAcentral lists this ribosomal RNA (253 nucleotides) under uncultured bacterium. Its description in RNAcentral is "partial 16S ribosomal RNA". It matches the Rfam family "Bacterial small subunit ribosomal RNA", at positions 524 to 776 of the family's 1533-position model. The record is from RNAcentral.